AAGUCGUAACAAGGUUUCCGUAGGUGAACCUGCGGAAGGAUCAUUAUUGAAUACGUUUGGUUCUGAUGCUGGCUCUUCACUGAGCAUGUGCUCGAUCCAUAACUAUUUAUCUUCUCUUGUGCACCUUUUGUAGUCUUUCAAAGAAGUGAUAACUCCUCGCAGCAAUGCGGUUUGGGGGACUUGGGCGUGAGCCCUUCCCCUGCUUUUGCUUUUUCUGAAGGGCUAUGUUUUCAUAUACACUAUAAAGUUACAGAAUGUCUUUUAAAGAUUGUGCUAGUCGCAGUCAUUAAACCUAUACAACUUUCAGCAACGGAUCUCUUGGCUCUCCCAUCGAUGAAGAACGCAGCGAAAUGCGAUAAGUAAUGUGAAUUGCAGAAUUCAGUGAAUCAUCGAAUCUUUGAACGCACCUUGCGCCCUUUGGUAUUCCGAAGGGCAUGCCUGUUUGAGUGUCAUUAAAUUCUCAACCCAAAAAGCUUUUACUAGCUCUUUUGUGGCUUGGAUGUGGGGGUUUUUGCUGGCUUCCUUCAGUGGAUGGUCUGCUCCCCUUAAAUACAUUAGUGGGAUCUCUUGUGGACCGUCACUUGGUGUGAUAAUUAUCUAUGCCAGUUGACUUUGAAGCAAAACUUAUGGGAACCCGCUCAUAACCGUCUUCGGACAACUUAUUGACAUUUUGACCUCAAAUCAGGUAGGACUACCCGCUGAACUUAAGCAUAUCAAUAAGCGGAGGAAAAGAAACUAACAAGGAUUCCCCUAGUAACUGCGAGUGAAGCGGGAAAAGCUCAAAUUUAAAAUCUGGCGUGCCUUUGGUCGUCCGAGUUGUAGUCUGGAGAA
RNAcentral lists this unclassified non-coding RNA (831 nucleotides) under uncultured Mycena. Its description in RNAcentral is "sequence contains ITS1, 5.8S rRNA gene and ITS2". The stretch from base 299 to 452 matches the Rfam family "5.8S ribosomal RNA". The record is from RNAcentral. Lineage: Eukaryota; Fungi; Basidiomycota; Agaricomycetes; Agaricales; Tricholomataceae.